CCUACGUGUGGCAGCAGUCGGGAAUAUUGCGCAAUGGAGGAAACUCUGACGCAGUGACGCCGCGUGCAGGAAGAAGGUUUUCGGAUUGUAAACUGCUUUAGACAGGGGCGUAAACAGACAGUACCUGUAGAAUAAGCUCCGGCUAACUACGUGCCAGCAGCCGAGGUACUACGUAGGGAGCAAGCGUUAUCCGGAUUUAUUGGGUGUAAAGGGUGCGUAGACGGAGAAGCAAGUUAGUUGUGAAAUCCCUCGGCUUAACUAAGGAACUGCAACUAAAACUACUUCCCUUGAGUACUGGUGAGGAAAGUGGAAUUCCUAGUGUAGCGGUGAAAUGCGUAGAUAUUAGGAGGAACACCAGUGGCGAAGGCGACUUUCUAGACAGUAACUGACGUUGAAGCACGAAAGUGUGGGGAGCAAACAGGAUUAGAUACCCUUGUAGUC
This 441-nucleotide ribosomal RNA is filed under the name uncultured bacterium. RNAcentral describes it as "partial 16S ribosomal RNA". It matches the Rfam family "Bacterial small subunit ribosomal RNA", at positions 338 to 795 of the family's 1533-position model. The record is from RNAcentral.